Molecule: ribosomal RNA, 255 nt
Filed under: uncultured bacterium
Lineage: Bacteria
Description: partial 16S ribosomal RNA
Rfam family: Bacterial small subunit ribosomal RNA
Source: RNAcentral
UACGGAGGGGACUAGCGUUGUUCGGAAUUACUGGGCGUAAAGGGCGCGUAGGCGGUCGUGACAAGUCACUUGUGAAAUCUCCGGGCUUAACUCGGAACGGUCAAGUGAUACUGUCGGACUAGAGUACAGAAGGGGCAACUGGAAUUCUCGGUGUAGCGGUGAAAUGCGUAGAUAUCGAGAGGAACACCUGCGGCGAAGGCGGGUUGCUGGGCUGAUACUGACGCUGAGGCGCGAAAGCCAGGGGAGCGAACGGGG